This 72-nucleotide transfer RNA is filed under the name Stegodyphus mimosarum. It matches the Rfam family "tRNA". From Rfam's summary of the family: Transfer RNA (tRNA) molecules are approximately 80 nucleotides in length. Their secondary structure includes four short double-helical elements and three loops (D, anti-codon, and T loops). The record is from Rfam by way of RNAcentral. Lineage: Eukaryota; Metazoa; Arthropoda; Arachnida; Araneae; Eresidae.
GCCUUCGUAGUGUAGUGGUCAGCCCGCUGGGCACGUAUCCAGAGGUCCGUGGUUCGAGUCCCGGUGAAGAUA